This 1029-nucleotide ribosomal RNA is filed under the name uncultured bacterium. RNAcentral describes it as "bacterial SSU rRNA". It matches the Rfam family "Bacterial small subunit ribosomal RNA", at positions 8 to 1002 of the family's 1533-position model. The record is from RNAcentral.
AGAGUUUGAUCCUGGCUCACGACGAACGCUGGCGGCGUGCCUAAUACAUGCGAGUACAACGCUGAACAGAGGAGCUUGCUCUUCUUGGAUGAGUUGCGAACGGGUGAGUAACGCGUAGGUAACCUGCCUUGUAGCGGGGGAUAACUAUUGGAAACGAUAGCUAAUACCGCAUAACAAUGGAUGACACAUGUCAUUUAUUUGAAAGGGGCAAUUGCUCCACUACAAGAUGGACCUGCGUUGUAUUAGCUAGUAGGUGAGGUAACGGCUCACCUAGGCGACGAUACAUAGCCGACCUGAGAGGGUGAUCGGCCACACUGGGACUGACACACGGCCCACACUCCUACGGGAGGCAGCAUUAGGGAAUCUUCGGCAAUGGGGGCAACCCUGACCGAGCAACGCCGCGUGAGUGAAGAAGGUUUUCGGAUCGUAAAGCUCUGUUGUAAGUCAAGAACGAGUGUGAGAGUGGAAAGUCCACACUGUGACGGUAGCUUACCAUAAAGGGACGGCUAACUACGUGCCAACAGCCGCGGGAAUACCUAGGUCCCGAGCGUUGUCCGGAUUUAUUGGGCGUAAAGCGAGCGCACGCGGUUUGAUAAGUCUGAAGUUAAAGGCUGUGGCUCAACCAUAGUUCGCUGUGGAAACUGUCAAACUUGAGUGCAGAAGGGGAGAGUGGAAUUCCAUGUGUAGCGGUGAAAUGCGUAGAUAUAUGGAGGAACACCGGUGGCGAAAGCGGCUCUCUGGUCUGUAACUGACGCUGAGGCUCGAAAGCCUGAAGAGCGAACAGGACUAGAUACCUGGUUAGUACUACGCCGGUAAACGAUGAGUGCUACGUGUUAGUAUCCCUCUUCCGGCAAUCAGAGUCGCAUCUGACGCAUUAAGCACUCCGGCGUGAGGUAGUAGCCACCGCAUGUAGAUAACUCAACAUGGAAUGACGCGGGCCCGCACUAUGACGUCGAGCGAUGUCGGUAUAAUGCGUAGCCACGUACAUGAAUAACUUACGAGGGUCUUGGACAGUCACGUAUGCUAUUC